GUGAACCUGCGGAAGGAUCAUUAAAGAGAUAGGGUCUUCAUGGCCCGACCUCCAACCCUCUGUUGUUAAAACUACCUUGUUGCUUUGGCGGGACCGUCUCGGUCUCCGAGCGCACUAACCCUCGGGUUGGUGAGCGCCCGCCAGAGUCCAACCAAACUCUUGUAUUAAACCAGUCGUCUGAGUAUAAAAUUUUAAUUAAAUUAAAACUUUCAACAACGGAUCUCUUGGUUCUCGCAUCGAUGAAGAACGCAGCGAAAUGCGAUAAGUAAUGUGAAUUGCAGAAUUCAGUGAAUCAUCGAAUCUUUGAACGCACAUUGCGCCCCUUGGUAUUCCGAGGGGCAUGCCUGUUCGAGCGUCAUUACACCACUCAAGCAUCGCUUGGUAUUGGGAACGGUCCGUCGCAAGGCGGGCCUUCCUCGAAGACCUCGGCGGGGUUCAACCAACUUCGGGCGUAGUAGAGUUAAAUCGAACGUCUUAUAAGCUUGGUCGGAUCUCAUUGCCGUUAAACCUUUAAAUUUUCUAGGUUGACCUCGGAUCAGGUAGGGAUACCCGCUGAACUUAAGCAUAUCAU
RNAcentral lists this ribosomal RNA (571 nucleotides) under fungal sp. AB20. RNAcentral describes it as "eukaryotic LSU rRNA". The stretch from base 205 to 358 matches the Rfam family "5.8S ribosomal RNA". Lineage: Eukaryota; Fungi. The record is from RNAcentral.